UUUUGAUUCCCAUCAUUCUCAGGAUGGACAACCCUGAGAUGAGUAUGCUCUCGAUGAGCGACAUUUUACCACCUCGAGGUGUUGUUGCUGUUUGAUGACUUCGUACAUACCAAAGGCGACCCAAAUCAGCCUAAAAGUAGUCAGUGUUAUGGUGUUCUGUUCUUUUGAAAUGACUACAUCCUUCAUGCGGAAUGAUUUCUGAUUUUCCGCAAAAUUGAUGCCAAGGAAUUGGAGAUUACUUUUCCUGCAAUAAGGAUCUGCACUGAAUGAUCAUUAUUGCAGACGAGGUUUCUCAAAUCUUUUCCAAGUCCCUCCACCUCCGACGCUCUGCAUUAAUUUCACGUGAAACAUUACCCGUGACAUCAGGCAAUGCAAGAAAAUUAUCUGUGGCCUGGCCUCUCGUGUCUGCACUCGAUUUCACAAUCUUCAAUUACAGUACGAGUAGAGGAGCGCAAGAAAAUUUAUAACGUACAAGGUGGAGAUGUUGUACAGAUACGUGACAAUGUGGAGGUCACAAGUUUGACUGAAACAAAUAUAAAUUUGAAAAUGAUGACCAUGGUGUAUGGAUGGUCAACAGCAUUGCCAUUGAGUCACUAAGAGGUAUACAAUGCGCGCUAUCCCACAGCCAGGGCCGGAUUACAUUCGACGCACUAAAGGGAUCUUUUGGUGUUUGGACACAUUUUGCGUGAAUCGUGGUUUUAAGCAACAUGUUUGAAACGGACACCAGCCUUUGCUCAAUAAGAGUUGAACGAGCUUCUAAAUGGGAAGUUGAACUUUGAAUCCCUUUUUCUCAAGACUUGGAUGAGGUUGGAUAGCCCACUAUACUUCUCAGCAAAUUGAUGUUAAAGCAAAGGUUUAAAAAAAAAAAAAGGCUGCUCUGGUAGUGAAGUAGAAAAUGGGUAAAGAUAGUGAUGUCUAUGUAUGUCCUCCAGGCCAAUAUAUGCUGCCUCUCUCGUGAGGAAGAGGAGUGCCUCAACUUCCUCGAUAACACCAUCGGCUCUCUGGACGAGUCGAGCCUGGUCCACAAAAACCUGGCUCUUGGCAGCAUUAGAAGUCGUGAGGAUACGGUGGACCUGCUAACUAAUGCAGUGCAACAAAAUGAUGGGGCUGAUGUUGCUGCUGUAUUUACCAGCACGAAACAUCUAUCAGAAGCAGAACCUGUGGAGCACACCUUGUCAGACUCAUCAUCUCAACAGAGCAGCGAAGGAUCAUUGACUUCAGCUUUCGAAAAUAACAGAACCACGCACCCAGCACAACAGCAGCAACGGGUGAUGGAUACACAACUCUUUGGACCCGGAUCGAUGCCUGGAGCAAACGCUGAAGCACUCACUGUUUCAACAAUGAUAGAGAACGGGAGCCAAAUUUCUCCAGAUGAGCUAUCUCUGGAAAACAAGGAGGAAGCUGGAGUUAGUAGAGAUGAGCAAGGACGAGGCAGUGAGAGUGAUUGGCCUUCACAUUCACCUGCAGAGAACUUUCAUUCUCCAUCGGAUCCCAAGGAGCUUCAUAUCUGCGGUGCCGGUCGAAUUCCUGGGCGCAUUGGUCCUGCACAAACGAAGAACUUCGAUACAAUCAUGAAAGCUGGAGUAAAUGUGCAGAAACGGAGGGCAGUGAUGCUGGAUCUUCUCAACCACCACAAUAACAACAACAACAACAACAACAACAGCAAUGAUAGUGAUUCAGGCUUGGGUCUCAGCCCAAGGGAUCAGAAUCUUUUUGUUCCCUCUUUUUCAACUUCUGUCCCCGUGACCGAGCAACCUUUUGUGAUUAAAGGUGAUGUCAGAAGUUUUGAGAGAUCUGAGUUUCGAGACAAAAGGGACUCCAAUUCAGUCUCUCAGCCACCAUCUCGGUCAGGCUCUUUGGUUGAAGCUCCAACCAAUAUGUGGCCAAUCUCUCGCUCAUGCUCCGAGCGCCGUAUCAUGUUGAAUGGGAAAACGAUCGCCAAAUAUCCAUCUUUCGAAGAUGAAAUGAAAAAAAGUGUUUGUGCACUUCAAAAGCCUGUCACUCAACAAAUAACAUUUGUAGGGCCAGGACAUUGGAAGAUUAUUGCACCAAAAAGUUAACUUCCCUCGAGUCAUGAUGAAAGAUGAAAAGCUCAACUUGCUGCAAGCCAUCUUUAUGUUUUUAAAAGUAUUUUUCUCAUUGUUUGUAUACUAUGUAUAGAUAUCUGUGCCAUUUGGAACUGUGCUUUACUGCCAAUUGGUUGUAGUUUUGGUACCUAUUUAGGAUGGUCGUCCAUGCUUUAUCAACGUUAUUCAUGGAGUACAAUUUCUGUCUCGACAGUACCAUUUCCUACUGGUUUCAGCUUUCUUUUUCUUAAAAAAAAAAAAAAAAUCUAAUGUUUAACCCAUCACUUCUCCUUCAUGAGUUUCUAAUCAUAACUUAUUCUAUGAGUCGACGAAUGACAUUAUUACCCCCAUUAUGAAACUACCAAUGAUUACGAACCAGAAGGAGUGGCACUAAAAGUUUCGCAAGUCGCCUUGGAUACCCUAGAGGAAACGAGAUAAAGAUUACAAAUGUUUACGAACACUAUAAACUGCUACAGUAUGAGCUAUGCAUGUCAUAUAUGACACAAUGACAUGCAAGUCUCAAUUGCCUAUUUGAAGGGGGGGUUUUAGCAUUUACAUUAUCUUCAGCUAUAUUUAUAAAUUAAUCUUUCAUGUGAACUUUGCAAUGGCCAUGACACUGAGUCACGAGCUUUGAUAAUGACUUAACCUGCAGUACGAGCCAAACUUGUUUAAGGAAAAAUGAAACAUGUUUGGUAUGCUUACUUUGUUCCUUAUUGUAGUGGCAGCAUUAUGCUAUAAUCACCUCUUUGCUGUAAUACAUUUUUCCAUAAUGCUUCGUUGUAAUAAUAUUUUAUUUUUGUUGUGCUUAUGAAAUAAAACAUCGACUCGAAUUGGUGUGUGUUUACGCCGUAUGUACGUAUGUUUCACGGGUUCUACGGGUCGUUGUCGGGGAAAUAAUUCCCUAUAGUGUGUGGACCCCCCCCCCCC
Molecule: long non-coding RNA, 2993 nt
Organism: Eptatretus burgeri (inshore hagfish)
Lineage: Eukaryota; Metazoa; Chordata; Myxini; Myxiniformes; Myxinidae
Source: Ensembl